UACGUAGGGUGCGAGCGUUAAUCGGAAUUACUGGGCGUAAAGCGUGCGCAGGCGGUUUUUUAAGUCUGGUGUAUAAACCUUGGGCUCAACUUAAGGAGGCACUGGAAACUGGGAGGCUUGAGUGUAGGAGAGGAAAGUGGAAUUCCACGUGUAGCGGUGAAAUGCGUAGAGAUGUGGAGGAACACCAGUGGCGAAGGCGACUUCCUGGCCCGAUACUGACACUGAGGCGCGAAAGCGUGGGGAGCAAACAGG
Molecule: ribosomal RNA, 252 nt
Filed under: uncultured bacterium
Lineage: Bacteria
Description: partial 16S ribosomal RNA
Rfam family: Bacterial small subunit ribosomal RNA
Source: RNAcentral